UACAGAGGUCCCAAGCGUUGUUCGGAUUUACUGGGCGUAAAGGGCGCGUAGGCGGCCACCGCAAGUCAAUUGUGAAAUCUCCGGGCUUAACUCGGAAAGGUCAACUGAUACUGCGGGGCUAGAGUGCGGAAGGGGCAACUGGAAUUCUCGGUGUAGCGGUGAAAUGCGUAGAUAUCGAGAGGAACACCUGCGGCGAAGGCGGGUUGCUGGGCCGACACUGACGCUGAGGAGCGAAAGCCAGGGGAGCAAACGGG
This 254-nucleotide ribosomal RNA is filed under the name uncultured bacterium. RNAcentral describes it as "partial 16S ribosomal RNA". It matches the Rfam family "Bacterial small subunit ribosomal RNA", at positions 524 to 776 of the family's 1533-position model. The record is from RNAcentral.